GCAGGUGUUUUGCUCCCGCAUGUGGGCCGAAGCGCUGCGGCCUCAGCCGGGCCGCGAUCCUGUCAAUUUGGUGUGGGCCCAGGGGGGCGUGGGGAAAGAGCUCUGAGCUCCCCGAGGCGGGUGGAGGGCCGAGGGUAGGACGGAGGUGAGCUGGGACAGGCUCGGCCGCGCUGAGGUAAAAUGGCUGCCCUGAGGGCACAAGGAGCCGAGUCCAGGCCUGGGUCCGCUGCUCAGCCAUGCGAGCAUCCUGCUUGCAUAUCUUCUUCAGCAGAGCAUUAAAGUUAAGGUUUAGGGCUGUCGGUCUUUUGUUUUUUCCCCAACACUGUGCUCUCCCAUUUCCAGACACUAUAUUGUCAUUCCUAGGGGCUCUUGCAUCAGACUAAUCUCACAGCCUGCUGUGGCAGGGCAUUCAAAUCUGUUUCACAGGCUGAGCACGAUGACUUUGGCCAGAGCAAACUGUAACAAUGUACUUUACUUUGAGUUUAUGUAAGUUAAUACAAAUGAAGGACAAAAAAAGCACUUGGGGCUGAGGCGAAGUUGUAUCUGGAGUGGAUGCAUUUAUGAAAACAUUGUCUCCUGUGGGCUAUGUGCUCCCUCAGAAGUGUGUGCUAAGUGGUGCGUCUUUAGAGGUUUAAUGUAGAGAUCCAUGAGAAAUGUAUGCAAAAAUAGGGCAGAAAAGGAUUUUCUGGGGAAGAAGCAAGGCGAUAACGUACAACUAUGUUUAUGAGGUUGUAAGUCACUUUAAAACACCAGUGUCAGUCUAGUUUGUCACAAAAGCCCUGAAAGGUAUGAAGGCAGUAAAGGCAGUGUGAGACAGACAGACCGCAGCAGCGCGCCCCAGCAGCUCCUCCCUGGCGUGUCCCACCUUGGGACCUGACCAAAGCUUGUUCCUCUGCUUGUGUGCACUGCUCCAAGAUCAGGUCACAAAUUGCUUUUGCAGUGAGAAUUUUUGGUAUCCACAAGAUAUAACAGAUGUGGGAGGGAUACUUCUAAAAAUGUUUGAAAUAAUUGUACUUCUGCAAUGUGGAUGUCUCUCGUUUAUCGCUUAGUAUCUUUCCUAUCUGCACACGUGAGCCCACGUGGUGCCGGAAGGGUUGAGUCACUGUAACCACCAUGAUGGGGUUAAAGUAGUAUCUGAGCUUGUAGAAAAACCCUUUAGCCUCCUAAGUUAAUUAAGGGAUUUUGAAAAAUGUGUCAUGCCUCUUUAGGAGAGUCUGUCAUGCGUACUUCAUUUUUCAUGUAUUAAUUAAAAAUGUAUAUUCCUCUAGAAAAACAGCAAUUCCUGAUGACUUACAGUUAGAAAAAUAUUUUUGGUCUAACGUCAUAAUGUGCUUGACUGUUACAAAUGCCUUUCAUUUUUCUCUCGUAUAGGUUAAAGUACAGCAAUGUGCUCUGCUCUAGUGAUUUCUAACAUUGGUAAUAUCUAUGCUAGAUUGCUAGUGGUUUAAAUAAAGACUGCUAUUAAUCACUGAAAGAUGUUAUGAGAAAGCACAUCUUCAGAAGUGGUGGUUUACAAAGUAUAGAUGACCAGCUAUCUAGGGAUUUUCUACAUUGUUAAAAGAGUAUUGUGGUUUCACAACUCUGUAGCAGAAUACACACUGGCAAGACGGUGACUGCGGAGCUCCUGAGGUUGGAGCACUGAGCUGCAGGACUUCAGUGGGAACUUUAGGAUAAAUAAAUUUUUUGAAGCAGCGAGUUUAACAAGCUAAUUCAAUUCUUUGCCCACUCAGUAGAAAUACUUGUUGCAUAUUUAAAAAAAGAACAAUUUCCCUUCCUCACAAAAAAGCAAAUCUCAAAGACCACGAAUAUGCUUCUUCCCAGGUUCAGGGAAGGUUCCAGCCCUUGCCAAAAAAUGAAUCUUUGUUUCCAAAAGCUUAUUAAACUGCUGGAAGUUAUUCUUAAAGGCAUAACAAAAAAGUGCUCUGUGUUAUCAGCGGAACCCUUAAAACAGUCGGGUAAGCUGCACAACAUUCAUUUUCUUUGUUGGAGUCGCUUUUGGCUUUCUGGUAAAAUGUGUGUGGAGAAUCAUUAAAUAAUUAUGUGGAAAAUAAAUUACUGGGAAGGAAAAGGCAAAUAAUCUUGCUGAAAAAAAAAGAAGCCAACUACUGUAAAACAACAAGCUUUUGUUCUCAAAAGAAGAGUGAUGAAAAACAGGGGUUUCCAACUGAGAAUAUUGAUGGAUAAUGCAAAUAGAACCGUGCCACCCAGUACACGAAGUGUCAAGGCAGGUGGGGAUGUGCUGGGCAGCACUUUGUUACGGCUGCUCCUCACUCUGCUUUAGGCCUGCUCAUGCACAGAAAGAAAACUAGCCGCUUUGUUUGGCCCUCCCUGGCAUUUCCGCAGCCUUCACUCCCAGGCCUCUUCCCCGGGUUAAAAUGCACUCCCACUCACUGCAAAUACCCGUCCCGGUGCCCGGGGCGGGGGGGGGUGGGGGCUUUUUCUGCAAAGAUACUGAAAUGCUUUACAAUGGGCUCACCGCUCGCUUUUGUUUAGGAUGAAACAGAAGCGCUGGGAGGUUUCCCAGGAUGAGCUGGUAGGGCUGGGGGCAGCGCCGGGGUGCAGCCCACCUCUGAGCAGGUUGGCCGUGGCUGUGGUUCUGCGUGCUGGCUGCCAUCGCUCUUGCUGCUCCUCUGGCUCUGUUCGCAGAACCUGUUUUUCCUAAUCUGAAGUACGUAGGAUCCAGCUGGGAUUAGUUUUGACUAAUCUUACUUUGUUGCAAAAUAACAGUUCAUCAAAGCUCAGAUUGUUUAGAAGAAAAAGAAUGGUUUUUAAAGCCACCUCUUAAGUUGUAACUGUUUCUUCGGAGAACUAAGCUUUGAAUUGUCCAAACUUGCCGUUUCCCUCCCGUAACAGCCCUGGAUAUGCUGCAUGAGUGGUUUCAUCUGGCAUUUCACAGCAGCGCAGAACCACACGGGUAGGGUCUUUGGAAUAUAAAUUUGAAACAUAAAGCUGGUAUUUUGGGGGCCUUCAGUUUUAAGUAGUGCCUCCAUGUUACCAACGCUAUUAAUUUUCAUGCAGAAAAAAGAUGCAAAAAUACAGCCUGCGAUUUUUUUGGAGAAACUCUGAGUGCAUUGGUAAGACGAGGAAAGUGUGUGUAAGUUUGAAAGUAUUUCCCACAAAGGUGGAUGGUGGCAGAGCUCGUUCUGUUUGCAUAGAUUUAUUUGCAAGCCAGAAGGUUUUCACGUGUGCAUGCUGUAGCAUGUCUCGAUGCAAACGAAAACCACAACACACUUAGGUGAAUUUCUCAGGAAAGCCAGCCUGAAAGGGAACACACAGGCAGAGAUUUAAAGAAAAGCCACGCGGAAGAGCAGGCUGCAGCGACUGGCCUUUUCCAUAGGUAACACCACUGGAAUUCAAAGCACUCCUGGAAGGCAUUGUGAAAAUGCUCAUUUUUAGAAAUGAAACAUCAAUCUUUUUUCUUCAUUAGAGCAGCUACACCAUUACAGCUGUUAAGCACGACGUGUUUGGCAGGGCUGUGCUCAUGAGGCCCCAGAGCAGACAGCUGGGGUCUUCACGGGACCCUACAGCCGCAGCUGCGCAGGACCACCAGCCACCUCCUCACCCUGGGCUGGUCUCCAGCAGCAUGCCAGGCCAGCUGGAGGGGCGCAAGUAAUCUAUUUAAAUUGCAUGUGGUUGUUUGUCUUGAUAGUAGCUGUUAAAGGUUAAUUUAAAAAAAAUUUAAAAAUCA
This is a long non-coding RNA of Falco peregrinus (peregrine falcon), 3688 nucleotides long. RefSeq lists it as uncharacterized. The transcript is spliced from 2 exons. The record is from RefSeq and is a predicted model, not a curated record. Lineage: Eukaryota; Metazoa; Chordata; Aves; Falconiformes; Falconidae.